CGUAAGAUGACUGUAGGUGAAAGCUUUACCAUCUCUUCGGAGCAUUUUACGAGGUGCUGCAUGGUUGUCGUCAGCUCGUGCCGUGAGGUGUCGGGUUAAGUCCCAUAACGAGCGCAACCCCUACCUUUUAGUUGCCAUCAGGUAAUGCUGGGGACUCUAAAGGAACUGCCUACGCAAGUAGUGAGGAAGGCGGGGAUGACGUCAAAUCAGCACGGCCCUUACGUCCAGGGCUACACACGUGCUACAAUGGCCGAUACAGAGGGCAGCUACCUGGUGACAGGAUGCAAAUCUCCAAAGUCGGUCUCAGUUCGGAUUGCAGUCUGCAACUCGACUGCAUGAAGUUGGAAUCGCUAGUAAUCGCGGAUCAGCCAAGCCGCGGUGAAUACGUUCCCGGGCCUU
RNAcentral lists this ribosomal RNA (399 nucleotides) under uncultured Sphingobacteriales bacterium. RNAcentral's name for it is "bacterial SSU rRNA". It matches the Rfam family "Bacterial small subunit ribosomal RNA", at positions 986 to 1382 of the family's 1533-position model. Lineage: Bacteria; Pseudomonadati; Bacteroidota; Sphingobacteriia; Sphingobacteriales. The record is from RNAcentral.